RNAcentral lists this ribosomal RNA (508 nucleotides) under uncultured bacterium. RNAcentral describes it as "partial 16S ribosomal RNA". It matches the Rfam family "Bacterial small subunit ribosomal RNA", at positions 28 to 523 of the family's 1533-position model. The record is from RNAcentral.
GAUGAACGCUAGCUACAGGCUUAACACAUGCAAGUCGAGGGGAAACGACAUCGAAAGCUUGCUUUUGAUGGGCGUCGACCGGCGCACGGGUGAGUAACGCGUAUCCAACCUGCCCAUCCCUUGGGGAUAACCUUGCGAAAGUAAGACUAAUACCCAAUGAUAUCUCUAGAAGACAUCUGAAAGAGAUUAAAGAUUUAUCGGUGAUGGAUGGGGAUGCGUCUGAUUAGCUUGUUGGCGGGGUAACGGCCCACCAAGGCGACGAUCAGUAGGGGUUCUGAGAGGAAGGUCCCCCACAUUGGAACUGAGACACGGUCCAAACUCCUACGGGAGGCAGCAGUGAGGAAUAUUGGUCAAUGGACGAGAGUCUGAACCAGCCAAGUAGCGUGCAGGAUGACGGCCCUAUGGGUUGUAAACUGCUUUUAUAAGGGAAUAAAGUGAGUCUCGUGAGACUUUUUGCAUGUACCUUAUGGAUAAGGACCGGCUAAUUCCGUGCCAGCCGCCGCGGUAA